AUUGAACGCUGGCGGCAGGCCUAACACAUGCAAGUCGAACGAGUGGCGGACGGGUGAGUAAUGUCUGGGAAACUGCCUGAUGGAGGGGGAUAACUACUGGAAACGGUAGCUAAUACCGCAUACCAUCAGAUGUGCCCAGAUGGGAUUAGCUAGUGGGUGGGGUAACGGCGCACCAAGGCGACGACCCCUAGCUGGUCUGAGAGGAUGACAGGCCAAAGUGGAACGGAGACCGGGACCAGACUCCUACGGGAGGAAGCAGUGGGGAAUAUUGCACAAUGGGCGAAAGCCGGAUGAAGCAAGGCAGCGUGUAUGAAGAAGGCCUUCGGGUUGUAAAGUACUUUCAGCGGGGAGGCGUUACCCGCAGAAGAAGCACCGGCUAACUCCGUGCCAGCAGCCGCGGUAAUUC
Molecule: ribosomal RNA, 406 nt
Filed under: uncultured bacterium
Lineage: Bacteria
Description: partial 16S ribosomal RNA
Rfam family: Bacterial small subunit ribosomal RNA
Source: RNAcentral